RNA transcript from Tribolium castaneum (red flour beetle), 1261 nucleotides. RefSeq lists it as uncharacterized. The record is from RefSeq and is a predicted model, not a curated record. The transcript is spliced from 6 exons. NCBI's taxonomy places the organism in Eukaryota, Metazoa, Arthropoda, Insecta, Coleoptera, Tenebrionidae.
AUGAAAUCGGCCAUUAGCCCUUAGGAUUGAUUAAUGCUCAAUCUGCCUGUAAUAUUCUGUUUAUCUUGUUUAGUAUUAUUUGCAUGCAGCCAUGACUCCAUUUCAUUGAUUUUUAAACUUAACAUGCGCCAUCUAAUUGCACAUUAAAUUUAAUGGAGACAUUAAAACGUUCGUUAAGUUAUUACGUUUCAAAUACUGCAGCGCCAUUAGCUAACGGACCAUUAAAUAUAAAUUAUGUCGGUUUGGUCCCGCAUUCUGGAUAGACCUCGCUCAGCUUUAGUCAAACAUUGUGCUUGUCAAAGUGUGUGUGAGUGUAAAACUGUGUCCAAAGAUUAGUGUUUACUGUUUACAUUGGAUAACAGGAUGCAGGACAAGCAAAGAAGGAACCGAGGAAGCAAUUUUUCCAAGGAGGAAGAGCUUUCGUUGCUUCAUGAAAUAAAUAAAUACAAAAAUACUAUCGAAUGCAAGAUGACCGAUAAAUUUAAUUUAGCUGAAAAGAAUGAGGCUUGGCAAAAAAUACUGAUUGCAUUUAAUUCAAAAAAUAAACGCCCAAGAAAUGUGGAGCAAAUUAAAAAUAAAUAUGAUAAUAUGAAAAGUAAAGCAAGAAAAAUAGCAGCAAGUAAUAAAAAUUACUUGCGGGGCAUAGAGGGUGGACCAUCACAGACCCUAGAUUUGGACCCUGUGAUUGAAGCUGUACUCAGAAUUAUUAAUUCUGCGACCGUCGUGGGUUUAGAAGAUCCUUUUGACUGCGUAUUGGAUAACGAUCAAAUAAAAGUAGAAGAAAAUUCUAGUUCGGCUGAUGACAUAAAGGAAUUAGUUUAUGAGGAGAAUUCUUCGACGUACAGUUUAGAAAAUAUUAAUAAACAUUUUAAUUAUAAUGAGCAGAUCUCAUCAGCCAAUGAAGAACAAAGCUUGGAGGUAGUAGAUAAUGGUGUUCAAAUACAGGAAAGUAGAGAGGAAGCACAUAAAAAAAGAACAGGGGACUGGAGCACUUACGCUCCAAAAAAAUUACGAACCUUGAUAUCCCAGAAUCCAAGUGAAAUAUCUGAAAAUACCACAGAAGAAUUUUACAGAAAAAAAAUGGAGUUAAUCGAGGAAGAAAUAAAAAAAAGUAAGUUAGAACAGAGCGUUAUCACAGAAAAAAAUUUGCGAGAUAUUGAGGAACACCAAAAACGGAUGAAGCUUCUGGAUUUAGAAAUAAAAAUAAAAGAACAAAUGUUAAAUAAUAAUUAAUUAUUAAAUUCAUAUUUUUUAUAAACUA